This 690-nucleotide long non-coding RNA is filed under the name Manihot esculenta (cassava). Its description in RNAcentral is "long non-coding RNA (MESC_LNC005835)". The record is from RNAcentral. Lineage: Eukaryota; Viridiplantae; Streptophyta; Magnoliopsida; Malpighiales; Euphorbiaceae.
ACAAUUCAUAAAAAUACAGUUCCGACCUCACAAAAAGAUGCGUCCAAAGGCAUCAAAGCAAGGCCAAACUCCGACCUCCCGAAGGAGUUCGGAGCACUAUGGCCAAAAGGUACUUAAAAAGUGAUCGCUGACGCUAAGCUCAGCUUACAACGAGGUCUAGACAGCAAAUAACCUGGAAGAUACCCAGGGAUAUACGAAGCAUCACAAGCCAUAGGUGUAAAAGCCUACGUAAAGAGUGAAGAGCCGAGCUCUUAGCUCAAAAACUCGAGUCAGUUCGCCAUACAUAGACAUCCGAGCUCAUAACCAAGGAAACAGAAAACAAUCGUUUACCCCCUCAACACUCAUGUAAUGAAAGGUUGAGGAGGUAAAGGGGGCAAUUUGGGAAGAAAGGACCUCAGCUUCAUUUCCUGGCAAGAUAGAACUAAAAGCAAAAAGGCAGCCCUGCUAAUCACCAUUAGAAGGUAUGUGAUCUGACUUAUAAGUUCAGACAGUUGGCUAAGAAUCGGGCUCAUGACUAAAGGCUAAUCUAGUUCAGAAAAAGCUUAUGAAUAAAAAUAUACAAUGUAAGCAUUACAGUUACGAGAAGGAGAGAUAAAUUAUAAAGCGAAAAACAGCUCAAGUAAACAGAAAUUAAAAUUUCAUUAAGAAUACAGGGCUGUUACAAUCUACUUAUCGGACGAGGUUGAAGGA